RNAcentral lists this ribosomal RNA (907 nucleotides) under Salmonella enterica. RNAcentral's name for it is "partial 23S ribosomal RNA". It matches the Rfam family "Bacterial large subunit ribosomal RNA", at positions 1251 to 2141 of the family's 2925-position model. The record is from RNAcentral. Lineage: Bacteria; Pseudomonadati; Pseudomonadota; Gammaproteobacteria; Enterobacterales; Enterobacteriaceae.
UGAAGGUGGCCUGUGAGGGUUGCUGGAGGUAUCAGAAGUGCGAAUGCUGACAUAAGUAACGAUAAAGCGGGUGAAAAGCCCGCUCGCCGGAAGACCAAGGGUUCCUGUCCAACGUUAAUCGGGGCAGGGUGAGUCGACCCCUAAGGCGAGGCCGAAAGGCGUAGUCGAUGGGAAACGGGUUAAUAUUCCCGUACUUGGUGUUACUGCGAAGGGGGGACGGAGAAGGCUAUGUUGGCCGGGCGACGGUUGUCCCGGUUUAAGCGUGUAGGUGUGUGUUCCAGGUAAAUCCGGUUCACUUUAACACUGAGGCGUGACGACGAGGCACUACGGUGCUGAAGCAACAAAUGCCCUGCUUCCAGGAAAAGCCUCUAAGCAUCAGGUAACAUCAAAUCGUACCCCAAACCGACACAGGUGGUCAGGUAGAGAAUACCAAGGCGCUUGAGAGAACUCGGGUGAAGGAACUAGGCAAAAUGGUGCCGUAACUUCGGGAGAAGGCACGCUGACACGUAGGUGAAGUGAUUUACUCAUGGAGCUGAAGUCAGUCGAAGAUACCAGCUGGCUGCAACUGUUUAUUAAAAACACAGCACUGUGCAAACACGAAAGUGGACGUAUACGGUGUGACGCCUGCCCGGUGCCGGAAGGUUAAUUGAUGGGGUCAGCGCAAGCGAAGCUCCUGAUCGAAGCCCCGGUAAACGGCGGCCGUAACUAUAACGGUCCUAAGGUAGCGAAAUUCCUUGUCGGGUAAGUUCCGACCUGCACGAAUGGCGUAAUGAUGGCCAGGCUGUCUCCACCCGAGACUCAGUGAAAUUGAACUCGCUGUGAAGAUGCAGUGUACCCGCGGCAAGACGGAAAGACCCCGUGAACCUUUACUAUAGCUUGACACUGAACAUUGAGCCUUGAUGUGUAG